GAGACACAUCUCCAUCGUUUCUCUCUUGCUUGUCUAUCUACCUUGUCCUCUAAUUGAUUUGGUUUUGUUUUCAGGGAGAUUUAAUUUGCUGAAAGAUCAAGACCAUGACCACGACCAGUUACGCCCCUGAUGACGUUGAUGGUGAGUUAUGUAUCAGAGAUUCAGAGCAAGCCCUAGCCCUAGAUUUCAAUAAUGUCAUCUAA
RNAcentral lists this long non-coding RNA (203 nucleotides) under Helianthus annuus (common sunflower). RNAcentral describes it as "sRNA HanXRQr2_Chr10g0434501". The record is from RNAcentral. Lineage: Eukaryota; Viridiplantae; Streptophyta; Magnoliopsida; Asterales; Asteraceae.